This 397-nucleotide ribosomal RNA is filed under the name uncultured bacterium. RNAcentral describes it as "bacterial SSU rRNA". It matches the Rfam family "Bacterial small subunit ribosomal RNA", at positions 355 to 769 of the family's 1533-position model. The record is from RNAcentral.
UGGGGAAUAUUGCACAAUGGGGGAAACCCUGAUGCAGCAACGCCGCGUGAGUGAUGACGGUCUUCGGAUUGUAAAGCUCUGUCUUUGGGGACGAUAAUGACGGUACCCAAGGAGGAAGCCACGGCUAACUACGUGCCAGCAGCCGCGGUAAUACGUAGGUGGCGAGCGUUAUCCGGAAUUAUUGGGCGUAAAGGGAGCGUAGGCGGAUAAUUAAGUGGGAUGUGAAAUACUCAGGCUCAACCUGGGGGCUGCAUUCCAAACUGAUUAUCUAGAGUGCAGGAGAGGAGAGUGGAAUUCCUAGUGUAGCGGUGAAAUGCGUAGAGAUUAGGAAGAACACCAGUGGCGAAGGCGACUCUCUGGACUGUAACUGACGCUGAGGCUCGAAAGCGUGGGGAGC